AGACGGGGGGGGCGAGCGUUGUUCGGAAUUACUGGGCGUAAAGGGCGCGCAGGCGGCUUGGGAAGUCUUGGGUGAAAGCCCCCAGCUCAACUGGGGAACGGCCUGAGAAACCACUAGGCUGGAGUGCUGGAGAGGGAAGCGGAAUUCCCGGUGGAGCGGUGAAAUGCGUAGAUAUCGGGAGGAACACCAGAGGCGAAGGCGGCUUCCUGGACAGACACUGACGCUGAGGCGCGAAAGCUAGGGGAGCAAACGGGAUUAGAAACCCCAGUAGUCC
RNAcentral lists this ribosomal RNA (274 nucleotides) under uncultured bacterium. RNAcentral's name for it is "partial 16S ribosomal RNA". It matches the Rfam family "Bacterial small subunit ribosomal RNA", at positions 523 to 796 of the family's 1533-position model. The record is from RNAcentral.